GAUGAACGCUGGCUACAGGCCUAACACAUGCAAGUCGAGGGGCAGCAUGGACUUAGCUUGCUAAGUUUGAUGGCGACCGGCGCACGGGUGAGUAACACGUGAGCAACCUGCCUUUCAGAGGGGGACAACAGUUGGAAACGACUGCUAAUACCGCAUAACGUCGUUUGAAGGCAUCUUCGGACGACCAAAGGAGCAAUCCGCUGAAAGAUGGGCUCGCGUCUGAUUAGAUAGUUGGUGAGGUAACGGCCCACCAAGUCGACGAUCAGUAGCCGGACUGAGAGGUUGAACGGCCACAUUGGGACUGAGACACGGCCCAGACUCCUACGGGAGGCAGCAGUGGGGAAUCUUCCGCAAUGGGCGAAAGCCUGACCCAGCAACGCCGCGUGAAGGAAGAAGGUCUUCGGAUUGUAAACUGCUUUUAUACGGGGAUAAAGUGAGCCACGUGUGGCUUAUUGCAGGUACCGUAUGAAUAAGGACCGGCUAAUUCCGUGCCAGCAG
RNAcentral lists this ribosomal RNA (498 nucleotides) under uncultured bacterium. RNAcentral's name for it is "bacterial SSU rRNA". It matches the Rfam family "Bacterial small subunit ribosomal RNA", at positions 28 to 514 of the family's 1533-position model. The record is from RNAcentral.